AAAUUGAAGAGUUUGAUCAUGGCUCAGAUUGAACGCUGGCGGCAGGCCUAACACAUGCAAGUCGAACGGUAACAGGAAGCAGCUUGCUGCUUCGCUGACGAGUGGCGGACGGGUGAGUAAUGUCUGGGAAACUGCCUGAUGGAGGGGGAUAACUACUGGAAACGGUGGCUAAUACCGCAUAACGUCGCAAGACCAAAGAGGGGGACCUUCGGGCCUCUUGCCAUCAGAUGUGCCCAGAUGGGAUUAGCUAGUUGGUGAGGUAACGGCUCACCAAGGCGACGAUCCCUAGCUGGUCUGAGAGGAUGACCAGCCACACUGGAACUGAGACACGGUC
RNAcentral lists this ribosomal RNA (334 nucleotides) under Salmonella enterica. RNAcentral's name for it is "bacterial SSU rRNA". It matches the Rfam family "Bacterial small subunit ribosomal RNA", at positions 1 to 331 of the family's 1533-position model. The record is from RNAcentral. Lineage: Bacteria; Pseudomonadati; Pseudomonadota; Gammaproteobacteria; Enterobacterales; Enterobacteriaceae.